GGGGUUGUGGCUCAAGGGGAGAGUGCUUGCCUAGCACAUGCAAGGCCCUGGGUUCAAUCCUCAGCACCACA
This 71-nucleotide transfer RNA is filed under the name Marmota monax (woodchuck). Its description in RNAcentral is "tRNA.Ala". The record is from RNAcentral. Lineage: Eukaryota; Metazoa; Chordata; Mammalia; Rodentia; Sciuridae.